Molecule: ribosomal RNA, 253 nt
Filed under: uncultured bacterium
Lineage: Bacteria
Description: partial 16S ribosomal RNA
Rfam family: Bacterial small subunit ribosomal RNA
Source: RNAcentral
UACGUAGGGUGCAAGCGUUAAUCGGAAUUACUGGGCGUAAAGCGUGCGCAGGCGGUUGUGCAAGGCAGGUGUGAAAUCCCCGGGCUUAACCUGGGAACUGCACUUGUGACUGCACAGCUGGAGUACGGCAGAGGGGGAUGGAAUUCCGCGUGUAGCAGUGAAAUGCGUAGAUAUGCGGAGGAACACCGAUGGCGAAGGCAGUCCCCUGGGUCAACACUGACGCUCAGGCACGAAAGCGUGGGGAGCAAACAGG